Molecule: ribosomal RNA, 253 nt
Filed under: uncultured bacterium
Lineage: Bacteria
Description: partial 16S ribosomal RNA
Rfam family: Bacterial small subunit ribosomal RNA
Source: RNAcentral
UACGGGGGGUGCUAGCGUUAUUCGGAAUCAUUGGGCGUAAAGGGCGCGUAGGCGGUCUUUUAAGUCAGAUGUGAAAGCCCUCGGCUUAACCGAGGAAGUGCAUUUGAUACUAAGAGACUUGAGUAUGGGAGAGGGAAGCGGAAUUCCUGGUGUAGCGGUGAAAUGCGUAGAUAUCAGGAGGAACACCGGUGGCGAAGGCGGCUUCCUGGACCAAUACUGACGCUGAGGCGAGAAGGCGUGGGGAGCAAACAGG